RNAcentral lists this ribosomal RNA (464 nucleotides) under uncultured bacterium. RNAcentral describes it as "partial 16S ribosomal RNA". It matches the Rfam family "Bacterial small subunit ribosomal RNA", at positions 28 to 507 of the family's 1533-position model. The record is from RNAcentral.
GACGAACGCUGGCGGCGUGCUUAACACAUGCGAGUCGAACGGUAAGGCCCCAGCUUGCUGGGGUACACGAGUGGCGAACGGGUGAGUAACACGUGGGUGACCUGCCCUGCACUUCGGGAUAAGCCUGGGAAACUGGGUCUAAUACCGGAUAGGACCGCACCGUGAGGGUGUGGUGGAAAGUUUUUCGGUGUGGGAUGGGCCCGCGGCCUAUCAGCUUGUUGGUGGGGUAAUGGCCUACCAAGGCGGCGACGGGUAGCCGGCCUGAGAGGGUGGACGGCCACAUUGGGACUGAGACACGGCCCAGACUCCUACGGGAGGCAGCAGUGGGGAAUAUUGCACAAUGGGCGGAAGCCUGAUGCAGCGACGCCGCGUGGGGGAUGACGGCCUUCGGGUUGUAAACUCCUUUCACCAUCGACGAAGGUUUUCUGACGGUAGAUGGAGAAGAAGCACCGGCUAACUACGUG